This 253-nucleotide unclassified non-coding RNA is filed under the name uncultured Candidatus Altimarinota bacterium. RNAcentral describes it as "uncultured Candidatus Gracilibacteria bacterium contains 16S-23S intergenic spacer region". It matches the Rfam family "Bacterial small subunit ribosomal RNA", at positions 524 to 776 of the family's 1533-position model. The record is from RNAcentral. Lineage: Bacteria; Candidatus Altimarinota.
UACGUAAGUCGCAAGCGUUAUUCGGAAUUAUUGGGCGUAAAGCGUCCGUAGGUGUCCUAUCAAGUCUGAUGUUAAAUCUCUUCGCUCAACGGAGAGUCCGUAUCGGAAACUGCUAGGAUUGAGGUGUGCAGGGGCAGAUGGAAUUCCAGAAGUAGGGGUAAAAUCCGUAGAUCUCUGGAGGAACACCAAACGCGAAGGCAUUCUGCUGGGCACUACCUGACACUGAGGGACGAAAGCGUGGGGAGCAAAGGGG